This 308-nucleotide ribosomal RNA is filed under the name uncultured bacterium. RNAcentral describes it as "partial 16S ribosomal RNA". It matches the Rfam family "Bacterial small subunit ribosomal RNA", at positions 505 to 807 of the family's 1533-position model. The record is from RNAcentral.
GAGACAGCAGUAGCCGCGGUAAUACGUAGGUGGCAAGCGUUGUCCGGAAUUAUUGGGCGUAAAGGGCUCGCAGGCGGUUUUUUAAGUCUGAUGUGAAAGCCCCCGGCUCAACCGGGGAGGGUCAUUGGAAACUGGGAAACUUGAGUGCAGAAGAGGAGAGUGGAAUUCCACGUGUAGCGGUGAAAUGCGUAGAGAUGUGGAGGAACACCAGUGGCGAAGGCGACUCUCUGGUCUGUAACUGACGCUGAGGAGCGAAAGCGUGGGGAGCAAACAGGAUUAGAUACCCGCGUAGUCCCUGUCUCUUAUAC